GUUGCCAUCAGGUAAUGCUGGGGACGUCUAAAGGAACUGCCUACGCAAGUAGUGAGGAAGGCGGGGAGUGACGUCAAAUCAGCACGGCCCUUACGUCCAGGGCUACACACGUGCUACAAUGGCCGAUACAGAGGGCAGCUACCUGGUGACAGGAUGCAAAUACUCCAAAGUCGGUCUCAGUUCGGAUCGGAGUCUGCAACCCGACUCCGUGAAGUUGGAUUCGCUAGUAAUCGCGCAUCAGCCAUGGCGCGGUGAAUACGUUCCCGGGCCUU
RNAcentral lists this ribosomal RNA (272 nucleotides) under uncultured Sphingobacteriales bacterium. Its description in RNAcentral is "partial 16S ribosomal RNA". It matches the Rfam family "Bacterial small subunit ribosomal RNA", at positions 1114 to 1382 of the family's 1533-position model. The record is from RNAcentral. Lineage: Bacteria; Pseudomonadati; Bacteroidota; Sphingobacteriia; Sphingobacteriales.